RNAcentral lists this ribosomal RNA (253 nucleotides) under uncultured bacterium. RNAcentral describes it as "partial 16S ribosomal RNA". It matches the Rfam family "Bacterial small subunit ribosomal RNA", at positions 524 to 776 of the family's 1533-position model. The record is from RNAcentral.
UACGAAGGGGGCUAGCGUUGUUCGGAAUUACUGGGCGUAAAGGGCGCGUAGGCGGAUCGGCAAGUCAGAAGUGAAAUCCCUGGGCUCAACCCAGGAAUUGCUUUUGAGACUGUCGGUCUUGAGUACAGGAGAGGUGAGUGGAAUUCCCAGUGUAGAGGUAAAAUUCGUAGAUAUUGGGAGGAACACCAGUGGCGAAGGCGGCUCACUGGACCGAGACUGACGCUGAGGCGCGAAAGCGUGGGGAGCAAACAGG